GCCUGGCUAGCUCAGUCGGUAGAGCAUCAGACUUUUAAUCAGAGGUUCCAGAGUUCAAGUCCCUAAUGAGGCA
This 73-nucleotide transfer RNA is filed under the name Chelonia mydas (Green sea turtle). It matches the Rfam family "tRNA". Rfam says of the family: Transfer RNA (tRNA) molecules are approximately 80 nucleotides in length. Their secondary structure includes four short double-helical elements and three loops (D, anti-codon, and T loops). Further hydrogen bonds mediate the characteristic L-shaped molecular structure. tRNAs have two regions of fundamental functional importance: the anti-codon, which is responsible for specific mRNA codon recognition, and the 3' end, to which the tRNAs corresponding amino acid is attached (by aminoacyl-tRNA synthetases). tRNAs cope with the degeneracy of the genetic code in two manners: having more than one tRNA (with a specific anti-codon) for a particular amino acid; and 'wobble' base-pairing, i.e. permitting non-standard base-pairing at the 3rd anti-codon position. Lineage: Eukaryota; Metazoa; Chordata; Testudines; Cheloniidae. The record is from Rfam by way of RNAcentral.